UUGUAAUUCCUUUAAGACGAACUAGUUGUUACUUGAUGUGAGUUGAGCAAGAAAAAUGGGUUCCUCAAGAUCAAUGCUUUUCUUCAUUAAUCUUGCUAUUAUUAUCUUAAGCCUUGUUGCUCCCACCAUAUCCCAAAAUGAUGGAAUAUGCACGUUUAGAGCUGAUUACUGCUGGAAAUGCUCUGAUACUGGCACUUACACAGCAGGUGACAAGUACCAAGAGAACCUCAACAGCCUCCUCUCUUCCUUCUCCUCCAGCACCCAAAACAAUUCCGGGUUUUACAGUUCAUCCAGGGGACAAGACUCCAACAAGAUCAAUGCAAUUGCAUUAUGCAGAGGAGAUAUCUCACAGGACUCUUGUCAGGUUUGUCUCAACAAGUCUACUGAUAUUCUCUUGCAAAAUUGUUCAACUCAAAAGGAAGCAAUCAUAUGGGCAGAGCCUUGUAUGGUGAGAUACUCAUACAACUUGAUAUUUGGUAUUGAACAAACGGACCCUUUUAAGCAUGUGCCUAGUCCAAACUUCCCUAAAAAUCCUGAACAGUUUGCGCUGGUGCUUACCCCCUUGUUGGAUAAUUUAAGUGACAGAGCUGCGUCAGGGAAUUCUCUUAAAAAAUUUGCAGCAGGGCAUGCAACUGUCCCUGGAGGUGAAACAAUAUACGCACUUGCUCAGUGCACUCCAGACAUAGACAAGCAAAAUUGCAGCAGUUGCCUUAAACAGUCCGUCACAGAAAUUCCAAUCUGUUGCGGUGGAAGGAAUGGAGGAAGAGUCCUUAAACCCAGCUGUAAUUUAAGGUAUGAGAAUAAUAGUUUCUUUGCGUCUAAGGACGAUUCGUCAGUAGAUAUUCCAGCUCCAGUUCCGGCAACACCACCAGCACUCAAAGAAGAAAAGAAGAAGAGUAACAUAAAACAAAUUGCCAUCAUCAUCGUUGUGGUUUUGGUUGCUUUUGUCACUAUUCUCAGCAGCAUAUUCAUUUUCUUAAGACUAACGAAACGAAGGGUAAAACUUGACGAAGAUGAGAAUUCGGAAGACAUGAGUCUGGCGGAAUCGUUGCAAUAUGAUUUUGAAACUAUAAGAAUUGCAACAGAUGACUUCUCUGAUGCAAAUAAGCUUGGAGGAGGUGGAUUUGGAGCCGUUUACAAGGGUAGACUAUUAAAUGGGCAACCUAUAGCAGUGAAAAGGCUCUCCAAAAAUUCUGAACAAGGUGAUCGUGAAUUUAAGAACGAGGUCAUGUUACUUGCUCAGCUUCAACACCGGAAUUUAGUAAGGCUCCUAGGAUUUUGCUUGAAAACAGACGAAAGGCUUCUCAUUUACGAAUACGUGCCUAACAAAAGUCUUGAUCACUUCAUUUUUGACCCAAACAAUCACGAGCAUUUGGAUUGGGACACACGUUACAAGAUCAUAGAAGGUAUUGCUCGAGGGAUUCUUUACCUCCAUGAAGAUUCUCGGGUUCGAAUUAUUCAUCGCGAUCUCAAAGCCAGCAAUAUUUUGUUAAAUGAAGAUAUGACCCCUAAAAUUGCUGAUUUUGGAAUGGCGAGAUUGUUUGCUAUUGAUCAAACUCAAGGAGUUACAAAGACAGUUAGGGGAACCUAUGGAUAUAUGGCUCCUGAGUACGCAAUUCAUGGUCGCUUUUCUGUCAAAACGGAUGUCUUCAGUUUUGGGGUGUUAGUUCUUGAAAUUGUAAGCGGUAAAAAGAUUGGUAGUUUCCGAUAUGGCGAGAAUGGAGAGGACCUGUUAACCUAUGCCUGGAGAAAUUGGAGGGAGGAUACAAUUCCAAACAUCAUAGAUCCCGUGUUGACGACAAGUUCACAAAUCGAAACGAUGAGAUGCAUCCACAUUGGUUUACUGUGUGUGCAACAGAAUGUGGUGGACAGGCCAACCACGGUUUCAGUUGUAUCCAUGCUUAACAGCCAGUCUAUCGCACUUCCAGUACCCUCACAACCUGCAUUCUAUAUGCAUCACAACACUGGAUCAGACAUAUCUGCACUGACUGAGUCAGACCAAUCCAAAAGCCUCUCUGUCUAUGUCACAGCCUCACAGGAAAUGACCCUUCAAAUAUAACUGAAGCAUAUCCUCACUAAUGGUCGAGUACCAACCAUUCUGUAACAAAUUUAGGCUUUAAAUUUUGGUUUAUUUACUAUGUUAGCACUAAAGUUUAGUUGGUGUCUUCUUGCUUCAGGGGACCUUUGAAUUUCUGCUGUCUAAUCGGCAGUCUAAAACGUACAGCCACUUCUUUGACAAGAAGUGUCACUUGUCACUUGUCUUUAUAUUGGAAAUGAUGAAAUAUUGUCAAAUGGUGAAACACCAAUUGGUGCUUAAGGCGAAGAGUAUGCAUUCAUAGUUGAGGCUUCUCAAUGGCCUUUUUAUAGAUGUCUUCCAGGACAGUUGAUGCCUUUCCUUUUAAUAGGUUUAAUAGAAAAAUUGUAAUUGCUUACAUUUUACCAAUGGUUUGAAACUAUUCUCCUUGAACUCUCGCCUUACGAUUCCUUCUUUUCGGGAUGUAUAUUCUACUGUCUAUAUCUCAUUAUAUCUGCUCUUCAUGGUAUAAUUCCAGCGUAAAGGAUCUGAUCUGUGGUUUGGUAGGCCUCUCAAUCUCUGAUCCUGUCAUCCUGUCUGGCCUUGGAGCUGAGUUGUAUGGACAUGAAAGAAGAAAAAGAUUGAGCAGCUUCUUUCUUGAGUGGCUUUUUUCUACGGUAGUGCCCACUUUGCCUUAGCUUGGAAAUGUAGUUCAGAAGCUUUCACUUGAUCAAAAUUUUGUAAUGGGUGUUUUGGUAACGUUUUGUUGUCUGCUCAAACUUCUUGUAAUUAGAAUAUUUUAUAUUCUGCUUUUGUCAAUGAAGUAUAUCUUCUCAAACAUUCUGGUCUGAGUUCUUUGUUUUGAAUAUUCGGUUUGCAUGUUCCCACUGCUCCCCAAGCUAUACUCAAGCAUUGAGGUUGAGCUCAAAUUUUUCCUUUCUGCAUGCAAAGCUUAGGCGGAUUGGAUUUUUCUUGUUGUGGAGGUUAAAAGCAGCUAACAUGAUUGAAUUAUUUAUAUGCUACUUGAAAAUGAAGUCACCACUAGCUCUCUUGCCAUCUUCAAACACAACUUUCAGUCGAAAUAGGAUUCAGAUCUUCGGGAGAUGAUGGCUCUAGAUUUACUGGGGCAGAAUGAGCCAUAAAGUUCAUAGAUUUCAUGCAGCAUGCUCUUGAUCUUGAUGAUGGUUAGAGCUUGAAACGUACAUAGAUGGGGUAUAACCAUCAAUUUGUUGACUAAAAAGUUGAGGCAUGUUGGAGUCCAUUUGGCU
Molecule: RNA transcript, 3282 nt
Organism: Prunus mume (Japanese apricot)
Lineage: Eukaryota; Viridiplantae; Streptophyta; Magnoliopsida; Rosales; Rosaceae
Gene name: cysteine-rich receptor-like protein kinase 26
Source: RefSeq, a predicted model, not a curated record